ACCGCUUACUACUGCCAACCCAUUAACAGUAUUGAAUAAUUUCAUAAAUUAUGAAAACUACCAUGCUAGAACUAGUAACAAGAAAAUGAAUUUCUCCAAAGUGUAAACAUAAACCAAAACGGACAACCCAUUGGUAAUUAACGACUCUGAACCCAUUAUAGCAAAACAUCUAGAAAACCCUAUACUUAAUACCGUUAACCUUACACAAGAACUCUUCUGGGAAAGAUUAAAAGGAAGAGAAGGAACUCGGCAAAUUUUAACCCCGCCUGUUUACCAAAAACAUCGCCUCUUGCUUAGUUAUAAGAGGUCCCGCCUGCCCAGUGUUUCAAUCAACGGCCGCGUGAUCUAAACGCGCGAAGGUAGCAUAAUAAUUUGUUCUUUAAAUGAGGACUUGUAUCAAUGGCAUCACGAGGGUUAUACUGUCUCCUCUCCCCAAUCAGUGAAACUAAUCUCCCUGUGAAAAAGCAGGAAUAAGAACAUAAGACGAGAAGACCCCAUGGAGCUUAAAACAAGGCAGCAAUUCAAUAACAAAAUCAGAACAAUCUUAAGCCCUGUAUGCCAGUUUUAGGUUGGGGUGACCACGGAGCAAAGCAAAGCCUCCACAACGAGAAGGGAUUAUUCCCUUACCCAAGAGACACGCCUCUAAGAAUUAUUAAAAUAACGUCUAAUGAUCCGAUUAUCGACCAAUGGACCAAGUUACCCUGGGGGAUAACAGCGCAAUCCACUCUGAGAGCUCCUAUCGACGAGUGGGCUUACGACCUCGAUGUUGGAUCAGGAUAUCCCAGUGGUGCAGCCGCUACUAAAGG
This 806-nucleotide ribosomal RNA is filed under the name Occidozyga cf. laevis TNHC 63033. RNAcentral's name for it is "partial large subunit ribosomal RNA". It matches the Rfam family "Bacterial large subunit ribosomal RNA", at positions 1542 to 2571 of the family's 2925-position model. Lineage: Eukaryota; Metazoa; Chordata; Amphibia; Anura; Dicroglossidae. The record is from RNAcentral.